RNAcentral lists this ribosomal RNA (498 nucleotides) under uncultured bacterium. RNAcentral describes it as "partial 16S ribosomal RNA". It matches the Rfam family "Bacterial small subunit ribosomal RNA", at positions 28 to 508 of the family's 1533-position model. The record is from RNAcentral.
GAUGAACGCUGGCGGCGUGCCUAAUACAUGCAAGUCGAGCGAACAGACGAGGAGCUUGCUCCUCUGACGUUAGCGGCGGACGGGUGAGUAACACGUGGAUAACCUACCUAUAAGACUGGGAUAACUUCGGGAAACCGGAGCUAAUACCGGAUAAUAUAUUGAACCGCAUGGUUCAAUAGUGAAAGACGGUUUUGCUGUCACUUAUAGAUGGAUCCGCGCCGCAUUAGCUAGUUGGUAAGGUAACGGCUUACCAAGGCAACGAUGCGUAGCCGACCUGAGAGGGUGAUCGGCCACACUGGAACUGAGACACGGUCCAGACUCCUACGGGAGGCAGCAGUAGGGAAUCUUCCGCAAUGGGCGAAAGCCUGACGGAGCAAUGCCGCGGGAGUGAUGAAGGGCUUCGGAUCGUAAAACUCUGUUAUUAGGGAAGAACAAAUGUGUAAGUAACUAUGCACGUCUUGACGGUACCUAAUCAGAAAGCCACGGCUAACUACGUGC